AACGAGAGGGGCCAUCACAGAGAUGCCCUCUCUGGGUUCCUUUAAAUGUUACUAGGACCCCAACGCGUGCAACAACACACUAAAGGGGUGGGCUGCCUAAAAAAGCCCGAGAGCUGCUGGUUCAACCCACACUCUCACAAGCCCCACAUCGGUAUUUUUAGGCUAAAAUCUAUCAGCCCUUGUACGUAACGAUUGCGACUACGCAUGCCUAAGUGCGCAA
Molecule: ribosomal RNA, 220 nt
Filed under: Chlamydomonas reinhardtii
Lineage: Eukaryota; Viridiplantae; Chlorophyta; Chlorophyceae; Chlamydomonadales; Chlamydomonadaceae
Description: large subunit L2b
Source: RNAcentral